RNAcentral lists this long non-coding RNA (1596 nucleotides) under Lynx pardinus (Iberian lynx). Lineage: Eukaryota; Metazoa; Chordata; Mammalia; Carnivora; Felidae. The record is from RNAcentral.
UUAGCCUCUCCAAGCUUCAGUCUUCUCAGGUGUAAAAUGGGAAUAAUUAUAAUGAUCAUAGUACAUUCUUCACAGAUGAAGAAUGAAUAGAAUAUAAGAGAUGAAUUAUUUACCCUGUGCCAAGUACUACACUAAAUAUUAGUCUUUGUCAUUAAAGAGCACGGAAUCAAAUGAAAGGAUCAGCACAAAGAAAAAAGAACAAGUCCUUGAAAGGCCACGGAAACAGCAUGUAAAACAUAGAAUAGAGCCAAAGAAGGUGCUCAGAUGAUUAGUCAGGCAAGGGUGUGAGACCUGAGUCUGUGGAAGAAGAUCGGUUUGCUUCCCCUUGUGUAAUCGAGGCAUUCAGACCGAUUACAUGGAGGCAUGGAGACCGGUCUAAACAAAGAUAUUUAGGAGUCAUGGUAGGCCUCUGAGCAAAGGGAUGCUGUAGGAGCUGGCUUUCCCUGCUACGCCGAGAGACAGGUUGACUAAGAAUAGCCACAUUCAUGUGAAAUUAAGUAAGCUGAUGAGACAUGAAGAAGAUGGCCUCAGGGGCCCAGCAGAUGAGAAACCUGUAGAACUAGGCAGCAGACUGAAUGGGCAACCAGAGAGGAAUGGCUAGAGGUGAUUAUGAGUCCCGGGAGUGAAUUAGAUGGUCAGGGGCUCCAGCAGAGAGAAGUCAUGAGGUAGGUUUUCUUCUUUGAAGGUGGGGAAAGACCAAGUGCAGACUGAGCUGUGGCCAGCGUUUGCAGACCAGGAAUCCACACUAGCUCUAAUCAGAGAGCUCUUGGUGUGCGGGAACUGCCAGUUUGCCGACGUGAAAAGAGCCCCAGACUGGGUACUGGUGAGCCCUGAAGUCGCACCCCAGCUCUGCCACUCAGUGAGCACGGGUAAGUCAUCCACCUUCUCCGGGCGGCCUCGAUGGCCCUCCCUCCUCUGAGGCUAAAGAAAGGGGAGGCCAGAAUGCCCAGAGCCGCCUCCUUCCCGUCUCAGGAUAGGAAAGGAUCUCAGGAACCUACUUGAUGUGGUAGGAGCUCCUGGUUGGCGGGUCAUAAACAACCCACCGUUACCAGGAAAGUCAGAUUGCAACCAUAAUCAGUGACCCAGAGCAGUGAAGGUGACACUGGUUAGCUCUACUCUGAGGGCCUGACCACUGCUUCCCUGGAAUGUUGCAGACCUUUGGAGUGGGGGCAGUUAACGGUUCUCACGCACAAGCUUCUCUCUGAGUUGGCCUCAGCCGAGCGCUAGAGAAGGGCCGCAGAAGUGUCUGUCUGCCAUUUCCCGAGCGCUUAACGCAGACAGCAAGGAUUACUGUUUUAAUUACUAUCCUGUCAGUGUGUCCUGACUUUUUUCACCUCGUAAGCACCAAGUUGACUGAAGCGUAGGACCAACACUGAGUACUUUGAAAGAAAGCUGUUUGAUUCCUGUUCACUGAAUGCCAUUUCUUUCAGGGUAGAUUUAAGGGCCUUGCCCUUAAAGAACAGUGCCAUUGACCCUAGUUUGAGGGUUCAAGCCACCCCAUGGGUUAACUUCAACAGAUGAAAAUUUUUCCUUGGCUACAGCAACAUCCCUAAUCCUGACCAGCCAUGGAGAGGUUCGGUUCUUACAAGGAAAAUG